UCGAGGGGGGGUCCCCGCCGGGAGCGCAGCGAGGGCACCCGCCGGCUGCAGGGCCAGAUUGCUCACGUCACGGCUGCAGCUGCCUUGCAAGAUACCAACCAAACACUAAUAUUUGGAUAGACACUUGGAUACGUACAAUUCCUCUCCCAGGAUGCUUUUCAAAGCAGGAUUAGAACUGGCUGAAUUGCAGAAUAUGACUGUCCCUGAAGAUGAUAACAUCAGCAAUGAUUUAAAUGAUUUCACAGAGGUGGAAAAUGGCCAGAUAAAUAGCAAGUUUAUUUCGGAUCGAGAAAGCAGGAGAAGUCUGACAAACAGCCACCUGGAGAAGAAGAAAUGUGAUGAAUAUAUUCCAGGAACUACUUCACUGGGAAUGUCUGUCUUUAAUCUCAGCAAUGCAAUUAUGGGCAGUGGAAUUUUAGGCCUCGCUUUUGCACUGGCCAACACGGGAAUUCUCCUUUUUUUGCUGCUUUUGGUUUCAGUGACACUGUUGUCUAUUUAUUCAAUAUACCUCCUGUUGGUGUGUUCGAAGGAAACAGGCUGCAUGGUGUAUGAAAAGCUGGGCGAGCAGGUCUUUGGUACUCCAGGAAAAAUGAUUGUUUUUGGUUCUACGUCUCUUCAGAAUGUUGGAGCUAUGUUGAGCUAUCUCUUCAUAGUCAAAAAUGAGUUGCCUUCUGCCAUAAAGUUUCUAAUGGGAAAAGAUGAAUCUUUUUGGGAAUGGUAUGUGGAUGGGCGAUUUCUUGUUGCCACUGUGACAUUUGGGAUAAUCCUCCCUUUAUGUCUCCUGAAAAACUUAGGGUAUCUUGGCUAUACCAGUGGAUUUUCAUUAAGCUGCAUGGUAUUUUUCCUCAUAGUGGUUAUAUACAAGAAGUUUCAAAUUUCCUGUUAUGAUUUGGUACUAAAUGCAACAUCUCUUACCCUAUCAAAUAGCUCAGAAGAUACGCAUAUGUGUAAGCCAAAGUAUGUUACCUUUAAUUCCAAGACCGUGUAUGCUUUGCCCACCAUUGCUUUUGCAUUCGUGUGCCACCCGUCAGUCCUUCCAAUCUACAGCGAACUUAAAGACCGUUCACAGAAAAAAAUGCAGUUGGUUUCAAAUAUCUCAUUUUUUGCCAUGUUUGUGAUGUACUUUAUGACUGCCAUAUUUGGCUAUUUGACUUUCUAUGACGACGUGCAGUCGGAUCUGCUUCACAAGUACCAGAGCAAAGAUGACAUCCUUAUCCUGACAGUGCGUUUAGCUGUAAUCGUUGCAGUGAUACUCACAGUGCCAGUGCUGUUCUUCACUGUACGUUCAUCACUGUUUGAGCUGGCUAGAAAAACAAAAUUCGACCUCUGCCGUCAUGUUUUGGUUACUUUUGUUCUUUUGGUUAUCAUCAACCUGUUAGUCAUUUUCAUCCCAACCAUGAAAGAUAUUUUUGGAGUUGUAGGAGUUACCUCGGCCAAUAUGCUGAUUUUCAUUCUUCCUUCAUCACUGUAUUUAAAAAUUACACAACAAGAUGGAGCAAAAUGGACUCAGAGGAUUUGGGCUUCUCUUUUCUUGGCGCUGGGGAUAAUGUUUUCCCUCGUGAGCAUUCCUUUGGUCAUCUAUGACUGGGUACAAUCAGGAGGCAGCACCAAAGACCCGUAGAGCCAACCUCAGUGUGAAACGGAGACAUCCCUGUUUGCUACACACCAAAAUCGCCACCAUCCGUUCUGUUAUCUAGUCCAUCUUUUGUUUAUACAUUCUUAACAGAAUGCAAUAGACCCUGCUGUAACUGUCAACAUCAGUGAUGGAUGACAAUAUUUGUAUGAGGUUAUCUGUAAAAUGUACUGCUGUUAUUCAGUUCAUUUGGAAUAGUGAACUUGUAGCCAACGAUGUCCCACAUUUUAGCUAGGAGUUUAAGAGCACAGUGAAAUGCUGUAGGAGUUUCUCUGUUGUAAAAUGAAUAGGAUCCAGAGUACCGUAUCUACUUAGUAGGUGCUAGCAUGCUUUCUUUUCAUAGAGAGUUUAUCACUGUUGUGAGCACUGCAAGUUUCAUAGACUGGAUGCAAAACCACUCCAAAUAGCUACCACAAAAUGCUUCAAAGCUAUUGUUUGUAUAAUAGCAACACCGGAGUGGUGGUGGACAGGAAGGUCUGUAGAAGCAGGGGCUCCUAGUAAGACUGUAGGGGUUAAUCCCGUGCUUACAAGCUGGCCUUGCUACCUGUCCUAGCCCACAUCACACCGCAAAGAAAAUGCUUACGAGCUUAAGCCACUCUUGUGGUUGCAGUAUACAGCUGCCCUUGCCUGGAUUUCCCAGUGGUGAAUAUGCCUAAUAAAGAAAAUACAAUAAAUGAUGUUAUUUGGGAACGAUUUCGAGGGAGCAGCGACCUCGCUGGGUGAUUCUGGCUUCAGAGGGCCGAUGCCGAGGCCGUGCAGCGGCUCAGACCUCUGGCAGAGCCAACGUGGGGCUCGAGGGGUGCCCGGGAGAGGCCACUCUCAUCCCGUGGGCUCGAGGGUACCCACGUCCUCCCCAGGGCUGCUCCCUGAGCUCUCUGCAGCUUGGGCUCCUCUUGGGGAGGUCCAACCUGUAAACGCAGGCUGGAUAACGUAUGGAAUUACUAUGGGGCUUGUCUGUACGUCUGCCUUACAGUGCAUCAGCACCAUAGCUAUUUCUGCUAUUGUGCAUCAAUAAUAACUAGCAGUAAUAAUUAAUGGUAUCUCUAGCUCAUCUUUGAAUCAGUAUGUUUCUUUGCUUGAACCUUACAUUAAGGCUAAAGAGCAUCUUGGUCAAAGCAAGAUCACCUCUUUGCGUGUGGUGGUGUCCCACCUCCAGUCCCACAGUCCCACCCCGGUGCCUUUAGGAGAAAGGCCCAGCAGAAUGUAUUCAGUUCCAGCAGCAAUUCCAAAAAAAUGGCUUUAUCACCUGACACCACGGUGCUCUCGGGAGCAGUUCCCCAGAGCGCUUGGCAUCAGGAAAAUCUUUAUUUCCUAUAACCUACACAAAGAAUGUUUUAUUUGUAUCUAAUGUAAGGAUUUCUGUAACAAACUGUGAAAAAGAGAAUGAAUUAAUAAAAAAGUACAGGGCUGGAAAGGUCUAGAGUUCACAAAUUGUACACAUACUUAUGUUUCUGAAGACAAAUCUAUGCAGUUGUGUUGUAUUGUAGGAAAUUUCAUUUUUAUGUAUAUAUAUAUAUUGUAAAUAAAUAGGAUGCUGUAUAUUUUUGCAGUUCUUUAUCCCCUAUGAUAUAGAAGUGUUGAAAUAGUCUCUGCAUAUUAAGAAUAACUUUAAUAGAAAUACAAGUACUUUAGCUUCUGACGUAGCAAAAUGUAUAUCCUUCCCUUUCUCCUGGGAGUCCACAAGUUAAAUUCGAAACUUGAAAUUACGAGUACAUUGCUAAGUGUAACAAAUGCAAGAAAAAUAAAAGGUCCAAUGAAACUGCUAGGGUUAAUUCCUGUGUCUCCCUGUUUUCUCCCCAGCAGAUCAUCCAGCCUUGCUGCUGGGUGAGGUCUGUCCCUGUGCGAAGGGCCUGUCCAGCGCGCGGGCCCCCUGCCCUCCUCGCAGGGCUGCCGUGGGGCGAACGCGCGGCAGCCUCGUGCCGGGGCUCCCCACUGAAGGCAGCUGGCACGGAUAGGAGCCAGAGCAGGGCUUGUGCGUUGCCAUUUCUGCCACGAGGCACGGCUGCAGUUCCGGAAAAUAGAGGUACUCCCAGCCAGGGCUGGGCAAUGGUUGGAGGAGCUCGUGCUGUUUGCAGGCAGCCCCCGGCACGCUGCUAUCCUGGGCCAAAACGCCAGCCGAAGCGAGUGUCCCUGGCCAGUGCCAAGGGUCUCCUUGCCCCGAGGCUAUGGGGACACCAGUGUUUUGGUCCAGGGAUACCUGCGUGUCCAGGGAGCAGAAGUGAGGAAAGGGGGACGCUUGCGGGUGUCCUGAGAGUGCCUCCGCAAGGGCCAUAGGAUUUGUCACUCGAAAGACACAAGAGUGUGAUUUAGAACUGGUAGAAAGCAGAGGCUGAGCAACCCAUCUAAAAAUAAAUGUAUUUUUUCCAUGUUUACUUCAUAGUCUUGGAUGAAAGUGAAACUUGAAGUGACGUCUGUUUUCACCAUGAGCACAAAACUGAGGGAAAACUUAAAACGCAGUCACUUUUAGAGAGCUUUUCAAAUACAAAUGUACAUUUUGUUUGCAGUGUUAUAGCCAACAAAAUAUAAACUGUAAAGGUAUUUUUCCACAAGACUUGAACUUUAACUUGUUUAUAUAAACCUGUUUUUAAGAGUCCUGAGGUAUGUUAAGGCUCAUCCAGAUCCAGUAUAAACAAUACUGUUUGAAUGAUGUACACUUGAUAUGAGCUCAUCUCUAGUAGAUUGUUCAAGUGAGUCAUUGUAAUAUUUUGCUCCUGCUAACAUCACCGUACUUUGUGCUGUUUAUAUUCAAAUAAACA
Nothoprocta perdicaria is the source of this 4389-nucleotide RNA transcript. It is a transcript of the gene named solute carrier family 38 member 1, with no coding region annotated. NCBI's taxonomy places the organism in Eukaryota, Metazoa, Chordata, Aves, Tinamiformes, Tinamidae. The record is from RefSeq and is a predicted model, not a curated record. The transcript is spliced from 17 exons.